GAUAUUAUCACCAGACCAUGGGCCAGCAAGGACCGGGGGACCUGGUCAGGAUUAGUCCUCGGAGGCAGUAGACCAGCACUCACAGAUCCCCAUCUUUGACAGCAUUGGAGAAGCUAGAAUUACAUUAUUUUUCAAAAGGACAAAGUAACAAAAGAGCUGGCUGACUGAUAUGUGCAGUAGGUAAAUUUUUCAUCUUUAGUAAUUCUGGAUCCUCAUUCAAUGAUUUCAUUUUUUUAGAUAUUUGUGAUCAAUAUUACACCAUUUCCCAACAGUGGUUUCCAGUCCAAUAUGGCUGGUUUUCUUAUAAGAAGAGGAAAUGAGGAUACAGAAAACAUAGACAGAGGAAUGGCCGUGUGAUGACACAGGGAGAAGGGAGCCAUCUGCAAACCAAGGAGAGAGGCC
This 402-nucleotide long non-coding RNA is filed under the name Homo sapiens (human). Its description in RNAcentral is "HSALNT0300824". Lineage: Eukaryota; Metazoa; Chordata; Mammalia; Primates; Hominidae. The record is from RNAcentral.